This 280-nucleotide ribosomal RNA is filed under the name uncultured bacterium. Its description in RNAcentral is "partial 16S ribosomal RNA". It matches the Rfam family "Bacterial small subunit ribosomal RNA", at positions 8 to 310 of the family's 1533-position model. The record is from RNAcentral.
AGAGUUUGAUCAUGGCUCAGGAUGAACGCUGGCGGUAUGCUUUACACAUGCGAGUCGUACGAAAGUUUUCGAACUUUAGUGGCGGACGGSUGAGUAACACGUGAGAAUUUACCUUUAGGAGGGGAAUAACAGUUGGAAACGAUUGCUAAUGCCGCAUAAUAUUUAACAAAAUUAAAGAAGUAAUUCGCCUAAAGAAAAGCUUGCGUCUGAUUAGCUAGUUGGUAGGGWAAAGGCCUACCAAGGCGACGAUCAGUAUCUGGUUUGANAGGAUGWCCANUCA